CAGAAAAGUCAGGACCCACGAAACAGCCAUCUGCACGUGCGAGGGGCUGGCAUCAACAGCCUACAACACAGCAUCUCUCCCAUCCUCUACAACUUGGUCACACAGAAAAAGAGAAUGUGCAUGAUAUCCUCAAAGGUCAAAGAACGUUAUCAGAUCUCUUGAAGACAGAAUUAUAGAUGAUUGUGAGCUAACCAAUGCAAGUAAUAGUUCUGGGAACACAACUCCAGUCCUCUGCUAGAGAAGUGAGUUCCCUUAACUGCUGUGUGAAAUCUGUCUAACUCAAGGAUGUUCUUGGACACGGUUAAAUGAAUGAAAUCAUGAGCCAAGAUUAACUUUCAGUCAUAAGUGACUACUGGAUGGCAGUUAUGCAAAAGUAACUAAUACAAGAAGCAAGAAAGGCAAGGAGGGAAGAAAAAGAGAGAUCAAAGAAAUCACUACAAUGAUUCACCACUUUUACAUUCAGAUUAAGGUAUCCAUGUAUCUCUCAAUCUCUCUAAAUUUUUAGACAAGACCUCAUGUAGUCCAGGCUAGUUUAAAACCCCUGCUCUACUGUAGCCAAGAAGACUGAGCUCCUAAUCCUCCUUUCUCUAAGUCCAAGGCGCACCAUCUCACCUGGUUUGUGUGUUUCAGAGUUCAAACGUUCUCCUAAAUACCAAGAACAACUUGCGCAUCAUACAGAAUCACUAAAGCAUGUAAAAUAAUCAGUACAAUUACUAAUAAAAAUAGACCGUUCCACAACCUUAUAACAGAAUCUGUGGAUGUGGAUGGAUAGAGGGCAAACAUUUCUAAAGCUGAACAUAUAGGCAGGUGCCUUCUAUUGAAAAGCACCCUAGGAAAAUAUACCUUUUUUCCAUCCAUAAACCUCUGCUUCUCCGUGAUGUUUAGAAUUUCCACAGGCACAUCAACUUCAGACCUUGACUCAUAAGAUAUGCUUCCAUCGUCAUUACUCACCACCCGCCCCUUGCGGCCAGUCAUCUGAAAAGCAAGCAUUAACACUGAGCUUUAAGAAGAGCAUGAAACAUGGAUGACACAAGUUGGUACUAGGACAAAAGAACAAAAUGAUCCAUGGCAACAUUACAAAAGCUGUACAGGAACCAGGCUCAAGCCAAACCUCAGGCACUGAGGACAGGCCUUCUGUAGCCAAACCUUGAGAACCCAAACAAAACAAGGUUCUAAGUUGUAUCCAGAACAGGACAUCCAUGUACAGGAUUUAAAAAGAGAAGAAAAUAAUAACAGGAAGGAGCAUAGCACUAACCACAUUUAUUUACCUCAGCCACAUUUUCAGGACCACCAAGUUCAUCAAUAAGUUCAUCCAAGGUGUUAGGAGGGAGGUCUUCAGCUAAUUUUUCUAGUUUAUCAAGCAGGUCUUUCUUCAUCUGCUGUGCCCUUUCCACAGCAUCCUGACUCGUUAUAAGGCUAUUGUUACUGUUGGUGUUACUGUUAGCUGAUAAAGAACAUUUGUUAAUCAAACUGUUAUACCUGAUUUCCAUUUCCAUUUCUAAAGUAGGACGUUCUGCACAGUACCUGGUGCACUGUUGGGAGCAGGUGAGACGACUGGUGCAGAGGAGAAACUAGGCCGCUUUGAACCAAGACCUGAUGCUAACAAGGCACUUUGAAUGGAAUCUGGAUCUAUACUUUUCUUCUUUUUCUUAUCUUUGUUUUUCUUGUGGUCUUUUCUAAUUAACCAAGGAU
Long non-coding RNA from Myodes glareolus (Bank vole), 1692 nucleotides. RefSeq lists it as uncharacterized. NCBI's taxonomy places the organism in Eukaryota, Metazoa, Chordata, Mammalia, Rodentia, Cricetidae. The record is from RefSeq and is a predicted model, not a curated record.